This 265-nucleotide ribosomal RNA is filed under the name uncultured prokaryote. Its description in RNAcentral is "partial 16S ribosomal RNA". It matches the Rfam family "Bacterial small subunit ribosomal RNA", at positions 524 to 776 of the family's 1533-position model. The record is from RNAcentral.
CACAGAGGAGGCGAGCGUUAUUCCGCGUUAUUCGGCGUAAAGGACUUGUAGGCGGUUUAGGUAAUCGGUAAUCAUGAAUGUCGCGAUGCUUAUUGCUAUCAAAAUCGCGCGCUUUACUGAAAUUACUAAACUUGAAUUAACCAUAGGUGCGGGGAAUACGAAGAUUCAGCAUAAUAAGCUAACACUCGGCGGGGAACGCCGGUGAUGAAGAUACCAAUCCGGGGUUAAUUGACGCUGAGGGGUGAAGGCGCGGGGAUCCAACGGG